AGGCUGCAACUCGCCUGCACGAAGUUGGAAUUGCUAGUAAUCGUGGAUCAGCAUGCCACGGUGAAUACGUUCCCGGGUCUUGUACACACCGCCCGUCACACCAUGGGAGCCGGUAAUACCCGAAGUCAGUAGUCUAACCGCAAGGAGGACGCUGCCGAAGGUAGGAUUGGCGACUGGGGUGAAGUCGUAACAAGGUACC
RNAcentral lists this ribosomal RNA (199 nucleotides) under uncultured bacterium. Its description in RNAcentral is "partial 16S ribosomal RNA". It matches the Rfam family "Bacterial small subunit ribosomal RNA", at positions 1302 to 1500 of the family's 1533-position model. The record is from RNAcentral.